AGCUGGCGGCGUGCCUAAUACAUGCAAGUCGAACGCUUCUUUCCUCCCGAUGCUUGCACUCAAUUGGAAAGAGGAGUGGCGGACGGGUGAGUAACACGUGGGUAACCUACCCAUCAGAGGGGGAUAACACUUGGAAACAGGUGCUAAUACCGCAUAACAGUUUAUGCCGCAUGGCAUAAGAGUGAAAGGCGCUUUCGGGUGUCGCUGAUGGAUGGACCCGCGGUGCAUUAGCUAGUUGGUGAGGUAACGGCUCACCAAGGCCACGAUGCAUAGCCGACCUGAGAGGGUGAUCGGCCACACUGGGACUGAGACACGGCCCAGACUCCUACGGGAGGCAGCAGUAGGGAAUCUUCGGCAAUGGACGAAAGUCUGACCGAGCAACGCCGCGUGAGUGAAGAAGGUUUUCGGAUCGUAAAACUCUGUUGUUAGAGAAGAACAAGGACGUUAGUAACUGAACGUCCCCUGACGGUAUCUAACCAGAAAGCCACGGCUAACUACGUGCCAGCAGCCGCGGUAAUACGUAGGUGGCAAGCGUUGUCCGGAUUUAUUGGGCGUAAAGCGAGCGCAGGCGGUUUCUUAAGUCUGAUGUGAAAGCCCCCGGCUCAACCGGGGAGGGUCAUUGGAAACUGGGAGACUUGAGUGCAGAAGAGGAGAGUGGAAUUCCAUGUGUAGCGGUGAAAUGCGUAGAUAUAUGGAGGAACACCAGUGGCGAAGGCGGCUCUCUGGUCUGUAACUGACGCUGAGGGUCGAAAGC
RNAcentral lists this ribosomal RNA (754 nucleotides) under Enterococcus faecalis. RNAcentral's name for it is "bacterial SSU rRNA". It matches the Rfam family "Bacterial small subunit ribosomal RNA", at positions 34 to 760 of the family's 1533-position model. The record is from RNAcentral. Lineage: Bacteria; Bacillati; Bacillota; Bacilli; Lactobacillales; Enterococcaceae.